This 253-nucleotide ribosomal RNA is filed under the name uncultured bacterium. Its description in RNAcentral is "partial 16S ribosomal RNA". It matches the Rfam family "Bacterial small subunit ribosomal RNA", at positions 524 to 776 of the family's 1533-position model. The record is from RNAcentral.
UACAUGUGGGGCAAGCGUUGUUCGGAAUUACUGGGCAUAAAGGGUGCGUAGGCGGUUUGUUAAGUCACCGGUGAAAGUUUUCGGCCCAACCGGAAAAUUGCCUGUGAUAUUGGCGAACUUGAGUGCGUGAGGGGUGGGGGGAACGAGCAGUGUAGCGGUGAAAUGCGUAGAUAUCAGGAGGAACACCGGUGGCGAAGGCGGAUCUCUGGGCCAUUACUGACGCUGAGGAGCGAAAGCGUGGGGAGCGAACAGG